UGUAGAGUUGACUAGAGGUUAGUCACCAGGCUCAUUACCUGGAGAUGUGGGUUCGAGUCCUGCCUUUACAC
RNAcentral lists this transfer RNA (71 nucleotides) under Polymastia littoralis. Its description in RNAcentral is "tRNA-Met". It matches the Rfam family "tRNA". Rfam says of the family: Transfer RNA (tRNA) molecules are approximately 80 nucleotides in length. Their secondary structure includes four short double-helical elements and three loops (D, anti-codon, and T loops). The record is from RNAcentral. Lineage: Eukaryota; Metazoa; Porifera; Demospongiae; Polymastiida; Polymastiidae.